Molecule: ribosomal RNA, 253 nt
Filed under: uncultured bacterium
Lineage: Bacteria
Description: partial 16S ribosomal RNA
Rfam family: Bacterial small subunit ribosomal RNA
Source: RNAcentral
UCCGGAGGAGGGAAUCGUUAUACGGAAUUAUUGGGCGUAAAGCGUCCGUAGGUGGUUGACCAAGUCUGCUGUCAAAGGGUGGGGCUUAACCUCAUAAAGGCAGUGGAAACUGGUGAGCUAGAGUGCGGUAGGGGUAAGGGGAAUUCCCAGUGUAGCGGUGAAAUGCGUAGAGAUUGGGAAGAACAUCGGUGGCGAAAGCGCCUUGCUGGGCCUGCACUGACACUGAGGGACGAAAGCUAGGGGAGAGAAAGGG